GAGAAGUUUUAUUCUUGCUUUUUCGUUCAGUAUUUAUUUGUUCUAUAUGUAAGUCUUUGCGUAAGUUUUAUCGUGAUUCUAGAUGGGUUAUGGUUGUGUUUAAGAUAAUUCUCAUUAGUUGUUAUUGGUUGUUCAAGUAUUCUUGUAUUUAGCAAUAUAUUUUAGUUUCGGUUAAAUUUUGUGCCAGCAGCCGCGGUUAUACCUUGGGGGCAUUUGAAUGUGUUUGGCGUUAGGUAGUUAUAUUAUUUAUAUUUGUUGAUUGUAUUUUGUUUGUUGUUAGGUGAAAUUUUUAUUAUUUUUAAUUUUCUUGUUUUAUAUUUGGAAGCUAUGAAACUCUUUUUGUAAACUAGGAUUAGAUACCCUAUUAUUUUAGAGUGUUAAAUUGUUUUUUGCCUGAGUAGUAUUAGUUAUGUUCUUGAAACUUAAAGAAUUUGGCGGUAUCUCAUUCCGUUCAGAGGAAUCUGUCUCGUUAUCGAUAGUCCGCGUUGGACCUUACUUAGUUGCUUUGGUUUGUAUACCGCCGUUUAUUGAUUAUCUUUUUAGGGUUUGAUUAAUUUUCUGGUUUCUUUAUUUUGAUUUAUUUCAGGUCAAGGUGCAGCUUGUUUCUAAGUGAAAUGAUGGAUUACAUUGUUAUUUGUUUUGUGGAUUGUUGAUUUUAAUAUUAGUAUGAAAUUGGAUUUGGUUGUAAUGAUUUGUAGAUUAUUAUUAUGAUAAGUGGUUCUGGGAUAUGCACACAUCGCCCGUCGCUCUCGUUUAUGUUGUUAAUGAGAUAAGUCGUAACAAAGUGGUUGUACCGGAAGGUGCAGCUGGAUUGGG
This 816-nucleotide non-coding RNA is filed under the name Microcerotermes parvus. The record is from RNAcentral. Lineage: Eukaryota; Metazoa; Arthropoda; Insecta; Blattodea; Termitidae.